AGCAGCCGCGGUAAUUCCAGCUCCAAUAGCGUAUAUUAAAGUUGUUGCAGUUAAAAAGCUCGUAGUUGAAUUUCGGGAUUAGUACGUCGGUCGUGCCUUAGGUACGUACUGGUGUUACUGGUUCCUACCUUCUGACGAACCAUCAUGUCAUUAAUUUGGUGUGGUGGGGAAUCAGGACUGUUACUUUGAAAAAAUUAGAGUGUUUAAAGCAGGCUCGCGCUUGAAUACAUUAGCAUGGAAUAAUGAAAUAGGACGUUGAUCCUAUUUUGUUGGUUUCUAGGAUUGACGUAAUGAUUAAUAGGGAUAGUUGGGGGCAUUAGUAUUCAAUUGUCAGAGGUGAAAUUCUUGGAUUUAUUGAAGACUAACUACUGCGAAAGCAUUUGCCAAGGAUGUUUUCAUUAAUCAAGAACGAAAGUUAGGGGAUCGAAGACGAUCAGAUACCGUCGUAGUCUUAACCAUAAACUAUGCCGACUAGGGAUCGGAUGA
RNAcentral lists this ribosomal RNA (486 nucleotides) under uncultured Glomus. Its description in RNAcentral is "SSU rRNA". It matches the Rfam family "Eukaryotic small subunit ribosomal RNA", at positions 569 to 1060 of the family's 1831-position model. The record is from RNAcentral. Lineage: Eukaryota; Fungi; Glomeromycota; Glomeromycetes; Glomerales; Glomeraceae.